RNAcentral lists this ribosomal RNA (446 nucleotides) under uncultured organism. RNAcentral describes it as "partial 16S ribosomal RNA". It matches the Rfam family "Bacterial small subunit ribosomal RNA", at positions 334 to 797 of the family's 1533-position model. The record is from RNAcentral.
CACUCCUGCGGGAGGCAGCAGUGGGGAAUAUUGGACAAUGGGCGCAAGCCUGAUCCAGCCAUGCCGCGUGAGUGAUGAAGGCCCUAGGGUUGUAAAGCUCUUUCACCGGUGAAGAUAAUGACGGUAACCGGAGAAGAAGCCCCGGCUAACUUCGUGCCAGCAGCCGCGGUAAUACGAAGGGGGCUAGCGUUGUUCGGAUUUACUGGGCGUAAAGCGCACGUAGGCGGACUAUUAAGUCAGGGGUGAAAUCCCGGGGCUCAACCCCGGAACUGCCUUUGAUACUGGUAGUCUUGAGUUCGAGAGAGGUGAGUGGAAUUCCGAGUGUAGAGGUGAAAUUCGUAGAUAUUCGGAGGAACACCAGUGGCGAAGGCGGCUCACUAGCUCGAUACUGACGCUGAGGUGCGAAAGCGUGGGGAGCAAACAGGAUUAGAUACCCUUGUAGUCCC